CACGAGUCAUCAGCUCGUGCCGAUUACGUCCCUGCCCUUUGUACACACCGCCCGUCGCUACUACCGAUUGAAUGGCUCGGUGAGGCCUUCGGACUGGCCCAGGAGGGUUGGCAACGACCCCCCAGGGCCGGAAAGUUGGUCAAACCCGGUCAUUUAGAGGAAGUAAAAGUCGUAACAAGGUUUCCGUAGGUGAACCUGCGGAAGGAUCAUUACCGAGUGUAGGGUUCCUAGCGAGCCCAACCUCCCACCCGUGUUUACUGUACCUUAGUUGCUUCGGCGGGCCCGCCAUUCAUGGCCGCCGGGGGCUCUCAGCCCCGGGCCCGCGCCCGCCGGAGACACCACGAACUCUGUCUGAUCUAGUGAAGUCUGAGUUGAUUGUAUCGCAAUCAGUUAAAACUUUCAACAAUGGAUCUCUUGGUUCCGGCAUCGAUGAAGAACGCAGCGAAAUGCGAUAACUAGUGUGAAUUGCAGAAUUCCGUGAAUCAUCGAGUCUUUGAACGCACAUUGCGCCCCCUGGUAUUCCGGGGGGCAUGCCUGUCCGAGCGUCAUUGCUGCCCAUCAAGCACGGCUUGUGUGUUGGGUCGUCGUCCCCUCUCCGGGGGGGACGGGCCCCAAAGGCAGCGGCGGCACCGCGUCCGAUCCUCGAGCGUAUGGGGCUUUGUCACCCGCUCUGUAGGCCCGGCCGGCGCUUGCCGAACGCAAAUCAAUCUUUUUCCAGGUUGACCUCGGAUCAGGUAGGGAUACCCGCUGAACUUAAGCAUAUCAAUAAGCGGAGGAAAAGAAACCAACCGGGAUUGCCUCAGUAACGGCGAGUGAAGCGGCAAGAGCUCAAAUUUGAAAGCUGGCUCCUUCGGGGUCCGCAUUGUAAUUUGCAGAGGAUGCUUCGGGUGCGGCCCCUGUCUAAGUGCCCUGGAACGGGCCGUCAGAGAGGGUGAGAAUCCCGUCUGGGAUGGGGU
This 956-nucleotide ribosomal RNA is filed under the name Aspergillus flavus. Its description in RNAcentral is "eukaryotic LSU rRNA". The stretch from base 1 to 212 matches the Rfam family "Eukaryotic small subunit ribosomal RNA", at positions 1622 to 1831 of the family's 1831-position model. The record is from RNAcentral. Lineage: Eukaryota; Fungi; Ascomycota; Eurotiomycetes; Eurotiales; Aspergillaceae.